CAGCUAAUGUAUAAUCAAGCUCUUCAUUCCUAACCUAACAAGAGUAACUUCCCCUCAUUAUAGGAGUCGAAUGUUUGGAUCCAAUGGCCAGCAAGGGAAGAUUGUCUGAUGGCCAGAAGAACCAACUCGAACAAUGGAUUGGACAAGGCCACAAGGACUUUGUGUUGCUGUUUAGCUUUUCAAAAGACGGCGGAACCGAAAGUGCUUUCCACAACAAGUGUGACAACAAAGGUUCUACUGUCACUGUGAUUUACAACGAUCAGAAAUCUGUUUAUGGAGGGUACACUAGUGUUUUCUGGUCAGGUUCUGAUGGCACCGUUUUUGAUUCAAAAGCAUUCAUAUUCCAGUUGCAGUUUUCAGGAAUCGAAAAAGCAAACACGUUUCCAGUUAAAAAGCCAGAGAGUGCAAUUUUGUGUUCUACUUGUGGUGUUGUAUUCGGUUCACCGCACCAUGACUUAUGGGCAUUCAACAAUGCAGUUAAAAUAGGGAGCGAAUUUAAACUGGAUUUUUAAUAAACAAUGCACUGUCACGGAUAAAGCAUUUCGGCAUUCGUUAGUAAAAUCUAUUCUGUACUUCCAAAAUGACUGAGUCGUAUAUAAUUUACAACCAGGAUAUUAUCGCUAAACCAAAUGCAUCCAUCAAAAUUAAUUGGACAUGUUAAUUAAGUUUAUGUUUAAGGUUUCUUUCAACAAUGACAGGAUCCUCUCCCAAAGUUCCUCUGGAUCGAAUCACCCGCAUAUUAUUUAUUUCCGAAAUUACUUGAAGACAUAUCUUGCCUUAAGCCAGUGUCGCGGCUCGGGGUUACCGACUUUCGGGUUGUAUUGAUCGGUCAGGUAGCUGGGGGAAAGUCCAGCUGCAUAAAUACUCUGCUGUCCGCGUUUGCUGAAAGAAUUUCACAGAGAGCCUCUUCUGGAUGUGGCAGAACCGGCAUUACAACAUCGGUUAAGUAUCUUUUGACUUAACUGAUUAUAUUGUGUUUUAUCUUAUUGGGUAUUUUGAAAAUAACUCCGUCGUAAGUACACUAGUAUUUAAUUCUGUUAAUGAAGAUACCAUUCCACAAAUGUAUUUUUCCACACACAUGAAAACAUUAUUUUAUGAUAUGCAUCAUAACUGGAAAUCAUAAAUAUUUUUUGUCUCUCCUCUCACCUUCUUUCAGUUUACGCCGUAUCCACUGAAGUCCAGUUCUGGAUCAUCGGCAGACAUUCGCCUGUAUGAUACUCCUGGAUUUACUGAAACUUCUGGCUUAGAUUUAAUAGAUUUUAACUACAUAUUGGAAGGUCAUAUUUCUGACCAUUACAUGUUCCACUCGUCUAUACACAUCACAUGGAAGUCAGAGAAGUUUGUUUUGAAACCGACAAUGAGCCAUCGUAUUCAUUGUGGGGCGAUUGUCAUUGAUGCUUCGACGGUUGAUGCUUUGACAAAGGAAAACACAGAAAAACUAAAGGCGCUCAAAGCCCUCUUCGAUGCGAAAGGUAUCCCAUGUGUUGUGCUGUUGACAAAAAUUGACAAGGUAGCCCCUGAACUUGAGGAAAACUGGAGAUCGACCUUUAAAAACCAAGAGAUCAAAGAGUGCGUAGACAAAGCAGCGACCGCCAUUGGUAUAAGUAGAAACAACGUGCACCCAGUGAAGAAUUACGAGAUAGAAUUAGAGGUCGACGAAGAUUUGAAUGUGCUGUCGCUGUUGGCGUUGCGGCAAAUUAUACACCUCUCGAUGGACCAUAUGGAAAACGUGAUACUGCGUGAAGACGGAAAUGCUGUUUCUGAGAGCGCGGAAGCGGUGGGGUCAGAUACCGCUUAAAUUUAAAAGGAGUUUUUAUUCAGUAAUUGUGCGUAUUGUACGAACAUAUAUGUACGCGGCUAUUCUGCUCUAUUAAAAAGACAACUAAUAUAGUUUUCAUUGUUGUAUUGUGAUGUUGUCUGUUCGAGUGUGUUAGGCCUAAAUCGUGCGCCUUCAUUUUGACCACUGGGCUUCUCCUGUAGUUUUCAUUGUUGUAUUAUGGUGUUGUCUGUUCGAGUGUGCUAGGCAUGAAUCGUGCGCCUUCUCUUUGACCACUGGGCUUCUCCUGUAGUUUUCAUUGGAACAUUAUUGUUAUAAGAAAACUUAGUCAUUGCUAUAACAUGUAACACGUUCAAGAACAAAUUUCCGUUGUUGUAAUUAAGGACAAUUAAAUAUUGCUAUUACAUGUUAAACUUUCAAAAGCUAUGUUCCAUUGUUGUAUUUAAAGAAACUGACUUUAUUGCAUCUUAUCGUGCAGUUGCAUGAACAGUGACGUGUUCGUCGAUAUGCAUGAGUUUUAUCUGAAUAUAACUGUAUAUGUGUAUUUUAGAUAUAAGUUUAUUGGCUUGUGCUUUUGAAAUGAUGUCUGUUUUUUUAAGUGUUUGUUAAUAUUUGACAAUAGUGGGCUUAUUAAUAGAGGAUGCCUCACACAUCUUCGACCCCAGUGAUUUUGACACAUUUCCCUCCUGGUGGGGUGGAAUUUAGACCCCAAAAUUUUGCAGUUUGACUAAAUACACAGGAUGUGCGCCCUACCCCACAGUUUGGCAAAACACCUAUAGAUGUAUGGUUUUAAUAUAGAUAUAAUUUAUGUAACGAUCAAUUACCGCUCUUUUACCAUGUCCAUGCAAGCAUAUCGUCACCCUAGUGCAAUAAUUCAAUAACUGCAUAUAGAAAUAGAAGCAGAUAUUGAGUUCUUGCACUAAGGCGACGAUAUGUAGAUGCCAGUCAUGAUUGGAACAGCUAUGAACUAUUACUAUUAAUAUAACAUCAACUCUAUGGAACGCCGUAACGGUCUUAUGGUGAGACAUUUCAAGUUGUUUUGUUCAUAGAACGUCCAAUCUUGUUAAAAUAGCAUAAUAAUUUCUCAAAUUGCCGUGAUGUUUGACGAUUAAAUAUUCUGUCUUUUUAACUGUUUUGCCAUCUUGUGAACAUAAUUUGUUAUAAUGUCUAUUCUCUUCUUAAAGCUGCACUCUCACAGAUUGAACGUUUUGACAACUAUUUUAUAUUUUGUCUUGGAACGAGCCAUUUUUUGCGAAAAUCCAUGGAAACCAGUCAUAAAAGACUGCUGACAAAAAAUCAGAUCGCAGAUUUUUAUAUUUAAGUUCAAAAUUUGAUGUUGUAUGCAUUCUUUUAAACCGUUGGUAGCGAUUUAAGCCAUAAAAUCCUUAAUUUCCGAACGGAAAUAUUAAAAUCUGCGAUCUGAUCUUUUGUCAUUGGUUUGCAGAUAUUUACGUAAAAAUAUGCU
RNA transcript from Mya arenaria, 3242 nucleotides. It is a transcript of the gene named interferon-induced protein 44-like, with no coding region annotated. The record is from RefSeq and is a predicted model, not a curated record. The transcript is spliced from 5 exons. Lineage: Eukaryota; Metazoa; Mollusca; Bivalvia; Myida; Myidae.